GGCUCAAAUCAGGUAGGAUUACCCGCUGACUUAACUNUAU
RNAcentral lists this ribosomal RNA (40 nucleotides) under Sympodiomycopsis paphiopedili. RNAcentral describes it as "partial 28S ribosomal RNA". Lineage: Eukaryota; Fungi; Basidiomycota; Exobasidiomycetes; Microstromatales. The record is from RNAcentral.